GAUGAACGCUGACAGAAUGCUUAACACAUGCAAGUCUACUUGAACUUCGGUUUGGGUGGCGGACGGGUGAGUAACGCGUAAAGAACUUGCCUCACAGUUAGGGACAACAUUUGGAAACGAAUGCUAAUACCUGAUAUUAUGAUUUUAGGGCAUCCUAAAAUUAUGAAAGCUAUAUGCGCUGUGAGAGAGCUUUGCGUCCCAUUAGCUAGUUGGAGAGGUAACGGCUCACCAAGGCGAUGAUGGGUAGCCGGCCUGAGAGGGUGAACGGCCACAAGGGGACUGAGACACGGCCCUUACUCCUACGGGAGGCAGCAGUGGGGAAUAUUGGACAAUGGACCAAAAGUCUGAUCCAGCAAUUCUGUGUGCACGAUGACGUUUUUCGGAAUGUAAAGUGCUUUCAGUUGGGAAGAAAAAAAUGACGGUACCAACAGAAGAAGAGACGGCUAAAUACGUG
Molecule: ribosomal RNA, 454 nt
Filed under: uncultured bacterium
Lineage: Bacteria
Description: partial 16S ribosomal RNA
Rfam family: Bacterial small subunit ribosomal RNA
Source: RNAcentral